UACGUAGGCAGCAAACGUUGUUCGGAAUUACUGGGCGUAAAGAGUGUGUAGGCGGUUCUGUAAGAUUGGUGUGAAAUCUCCCGGCUUAACUGGGAGGGUGCGCCGAUAACUGCAGGGCUUGAGUAUUGGAGAGGAGAGCGGAAUUCCAGGUGUAGCGGUGAAAUGCGUAGAUAUCUGGAGGAACACCGGUGGCGAAGGCGGCAUCCUGGACCGACAUUGACGCUGAGGCGCGAAAGCCAGGGGAGCAAACGGG
This 253-nucleotide ribosomal RNA is filed under the name uncultured bacterium. Its description in RNAcentral is "partial 16S ribosomal RNA". It matches the Rfam family "Bacterial small subunit ribosomal RNA", at positions 524 to 776 of the family's 1533-position model. The record is from RNAcentral.